RNAcentral lists this ribosomal RNA (253 nucleotides) under uncultured bacterium. Its description in RNAcentral is "partial 16S ribosomal RNA". It matches the Rfam family "Bacterial small subunit ribosomal RNA", at positions 524 to 776 of the family's 1533-position model. The record is from RNAcentral.
UACAGAGGGCCCAAGCGUUGUUCGGAUUUAUUGGGCGUAAAGGGUGCGUAGGCGGCGGAGUAAGUUGGGUGUGAAAUCCCGGGGCUCAACCUCGGAAUUGCAUUCAAUACUGCUUCGCUCGAGUACUGGAGAGGAGGCUGGAAUUUACGGUGUAGCAGUGAAAUGCGUAGAUAUCGUAAGGAAGGCCGGUGGCGAAAGCGAGCCUCUGGACAGUUACUGACGCUGAUGCACGAAGGCCAGGGGAGCAAACGGG